RNAcentral lists this long non-coding RNA (4191 nucleotides) under Daucus carota (carrot). RNAcentral's name for it is "long non-coding RNA (DCAR_LNC003481)". The stretch from base 3525 to 3720 matches the Rfam family "U2 spliceosomal RNA". Lineage: Eukaryota; Viridiplantae; Streptophyta; Magnoliopsida; Apiales; Apiaceae. The record is from RNAcentral.
CAAACUAACAAUAGAGAAAUUCCAGAGGUAGGUUGACUGUCUUAUGCUAGCAUCCUUUUUUAUUAUUAUUCUUGUUGAAAUCACAUAAAUUGGAGCGAGUAAGUCAUAUGUAAACAGGAUGGAGGUUGAAGAUAUUUAAUUUGCAUGAAUAUAAGUUACCUUCUCAUGCUUCCCUUAAAUAAGCAACCAACAAUUUGAGAGUAGUCGUCAUACAUGCAUCCCGAAAUUUCACAUUCCUUUGUCUAUUCUAUUGGUCUCCAGAGCUCACCUUUCAAAAGCUAGAAGGCCGAAAAUGAGUAUUUCAAUGAGAAUUGAGAGCAGGAUGACGUCCGGUGAGAUCAAAAUCUGCUUCAGCACAGAGGCCAAGGCUUCGACAAUCAAUGAAUACACUGGAUCAUCUAGAAAGAACGAACGCCUGGAUUAGUAGAUGUGCUCAAGAACCACAUAUUAAAAAAUGCUACAUGCAACUUUACCGGGAAACAGAAAAGAAUUCAUCUAAAAAAUUUGGUUUAACCUUUCUAACAUGUAAUUUACAUGCAACUCAAAAAUAAUUUCUUGUGAUUCAAUAUUCUUAAGACUUUAUAAUUCCUUUACUUGAUGUUCAAAAGAAAUCACACGGAUUUCUCUUCCUUUCUCAUUAUUCUCGUGCUCUUUAGUUGCGAACAAAGAGUUGUAUUAUCAGUAAUAUACAUCGCUAUUGCAUAUCACAAGCCAAAGUAUUACACACAAUCACCAAACAAAGAGAGAGAGAACAAGGGAGGCCGAGUAUGACAAAUAAGAGUAUUAAAAGUUUCACCGUUGAGUAUAAUUUUUUCCGGUUCUCCAAACCCCGUGCAAAAAGUAGGAAUUACACACCUUGUUUAUGUGUUGUUGCACCACGACAGAGCUUCAAUAGACUUAUUAUUAUAGACCCCCUAGCUUUGAUCGAGGUCAUGUGUAAGUAAGGUCUAAAUCUGACCAGUUCUCAAGGGCAUGUGUAAGUAAGGUCUAGAUCUAACCAGUUCAAAUAGUAUAUAAGGUCUCGAGAAUUUCAGACUUACCAACUCUCCAAGUUCAAAUAGGAUUUAAUAAAGGUCUGCGAAUUUGAAAAGUGUGAACUCUGAUAGUAAUGAUUAUUUAUUCGCAACAUGAAAUUUGGUAAAAAUAAGAGAUGGACUUUUAAAAGCAAGUAGAAAUAACAUUUAGAUUAUAACGCCAUUGCAAAUCUAAAACUUAGUAAUUGAAAGUACGCUCCCAAGUUUAUUAUAAUAAACUUUGAGUUAUUUCAAUUUAUUACACACCAAAAAUAUCAAGAUUAUCACUUGGUAACUCAUCCUUAAUCUACAGCAGCUAGUUCACACAAACAACCCCUUCGCACAUAAGUGAUUUUGUUCCAUUAGAUAAUUACACGAAACAAAGUUUUUCUUAUCAGAUACCAAUUAUACAUCUUCCACUUAAUAGAUGCAACAUUUUAUUUAUAUUUAUAUAUAGUCAUUCGUCAUACAUAUUUUCGACAAAAUCUAAUAUAUAAGUAAGAUUAAAGAUAAUAAAAUAUCAACAAGGAUAAUUAUUAUGAUAAAUAUCAAUAAGAGAUAAGUGCAUCCUUUAUUCCACGUCAAUCUUUUAUUAUUAGAAUAGAAGACAAGUCCAUCCCUUAAAAUUGCAACAAAAGACACACCGUAACUAGCAUGUAGCAUCAGAAAUGUAUUUAUUUGUUAAUGUUAUCUUUUUACGAAUGCAACUCAAACAAGAAGUUUAAAAUGUGCUUUAGUGUUUGGCAAUUUUUAUGACAUUAACAAGCUAGAAUUUUAUUCAAUAGUGUAAAAGCCAUAUCGCAAUCUUUUGUAGUAGACUACACGGUCAAUCUUUCAAUUCCAUACCGGCAAGAAAAUAUGGGUUCAAGGGUGGAUUUCAUUAUAUUAACGGAUUUAAAUAUCUACACAACACAAUAAUAUACUAUUUUUGAACACACAUUAAUGGAGUGAAUCCCGAAUAGGAUUUCGUGGUCGUAGCAUAUGAAUCUAUACCUCAAAUAACUGAAAUCAGACCAAACUCAGUUUUCAAAAUUUCCAAAUUAUGUCGUACAACCAAUCUGUUGCUUUAAAUUAAGUUCUCACACGAACAAUCCUACAUCUACUUUGAUAGUGGUGCACGGAACUACAAUUAGUUGGUCUUAAAUCUACUUAAACAGUGGUGCGAGGUAUAGUUGCUUAUGAAGGCCAUACUACUGUCUUAUGUAUGUGUUCCUGUUCUCUAGCAACAUAACAGAUCCGUGGUGUAAUAAGAGAAGAUGAUAAAGAAAAUGAAAGCCUAUUUGUAAAGCUUGAGCCAUAUGUGGUAAUCCUCGACGGGUGGAACUUACAAUGUUAAAUCUACUACAAAAGUUCAAAUACUCGCCCACACAUGAUUUUCAUCAAACCCUAGACCUCUUGUUACGGACGAAAGACAAACUUAACAUUUUAUUUUCGUUUGGUUGAGAAGAAUAACAUGUUGCAAGAACAAAAUGAAAAAUCAAAGAUACAUGAAAGAGUUGAACAAAUGCCAUAAUUGAGAAGUGGAAGGAACGUUGCAAAGAGGGAACAGAUGAAAGAGUGAACUAGCUCCGAUGAAUGUGUAGUUAACGACUACAACGUACGAAAUCUAAAAAUUCCAAUCAGGAGGUGAGGAACAAAGGGAAGAAAUUUAAAAACAUUUAACAAAGUACAAAGUUCUAGCUCUCAAUUAUAUAAUUUCAUAAAAGUUAAUUGCAGAACGCUUUCUGCAUCAGCUAGUUCUUCUAUCAAAGUUCCCUCAUCGAGGGCGCCAACCAGCAAACAUCAACACCAGGAUAUAAAUAGGGCAGCACAGCCUACAUUGCAACAUACUUACCUGGAUGGGGUCUAUGGGUGAUCAUGAAGGCCCAUGGCCUGGGUAAGUGGCCUCCAUUGCACAGCGGAGGGGUGCUUGCCUAAGGUCUACCCAAGUGGUGGAGCCUACAUCAUAAUUUGUGACAGGGGGGCCUGCGUUCGCGCAGCCCCUGCAAUUCUAGUGUUAAACAGUCGUGCCCUUUUAGUGGAUAUAUAUAACAAUUAGGCACAGGUUGUCCUUCCCAGAUGUAACUCUGCAAUUCUGGUGUUAAACAGUCGUGCCCUUUUAGUGGAUAUAUAUAACAAUUAGGCACAGGUUGUCCUUCCCAGAUGUAACUUACUCGUCUUGAAAGCACCUGACCCAACUGAAAAUCUCCUGGUAACAUCAACAUGAAUCGUUAUCAUGUUUCGGUUUUAAUCAAGUUCUUCGACAGGUUUCUCUUUCAAUAAUUAACACUCGUCUGGGUGUUUUAGUAUUUCGCUGGGUACCAUAUAUCAGAAUUCUCUCAUAUCAUCGAAAGUCUAACAACUGUUUCCACGGCUAGCUCCUUCUAAUAUCUGCAGUUCUCCCACUCAAGAAAUAUGGCUGACAAGCAGUGAAUGCAGACAUUCUUGAAGAGUCAAGUACCACCUCGAGUUAAAUAUGACAGAGCUACAACAGCUGAGCUUUAAAAGCAAAAUCACACAGAGAAAACACUCAUACCUUUCUCGGCCUUUUGGCUAAGAUCAAGUGUAGUAUCUGUUCUUAUCAGUUUAAUAUCUGAUAUGUGGGCCAUAGGUCCACACGAUAUUAAAUUUAUUUUUUAAGGGGGAAGGCCCAUCACAAUAGCUUGCUAUUGGGGUCUUUGCGCGUCGCCCAAGCGUUGCACUACUGCUCGGGCCUGGCGCACCCCACCAAAUCAAGUCAUCAAGCAUAUUUUGUUAUAUAUAUAAUUUCAGACCCUGACACUCUUCAAGUUUCAUCAUCUCGCCCAACCCAGACCAAAUCAAGUCAUCAAGCAUAUUUUGUUAUUUUCUUUGCCAAACUAACAAUAGAGAAAUUCCAGAGCUAAGUUGACUGUCUUAUGCUAGCAUCCUUUUUUAUUAUUAUUCUUGUUGAAAUCACAUAAUUUGGAGCAAGUAAUUCAUAUGUAAACAAGAUGGAGGUUGAAGAUAUUUAAUUUGCAUGAAUGUAAGUUACCUUCUCAUGCUUCCCUUGACCAAGCAACCAACAAUUUGAGAGUAGUCGUCAUACAUGCAUCCCGGAAGUCCACAUUCCUUUGUCUAUUCUAUUGGUCUCCAGCUCACCUUUCAAAAGCUAGAAGGCCGAAAAUGAGAAUUGAGAGCAACUUAAGCACAGAGGCCAAGGCUUCAACAAUCAAUGAAU